Molecule: ribosomal RNA, 446 nt
Filed under: uncultured bacterium
Lineage: Bacteria
Description: partial 16S ribosomal RNA
Rfam family: Bacterial small subunit ribosomal RNA
Source: RNAcentral
CCUACGGGAGGCAGCAGUCGAGAAUCAUUCACAAUGGGGGAAACCCUGAUGGUGCGACGCCGCGUGGGGGAAUGAAGGUCUUCGGAUUGUAAACCCCUGUCAUGUGGGAGCAAAUUAAAAAGAUAGUACCACAAGAGGAAGAGACGGCUAACUCUGUGACAGCAGCCGCGGUAAUACAGAGGUCUCAAGCGCUGUUCGGAAUCACUGGGCGUAAAGCGUGCGUAGGCUGUUUCGUAAGUCGUGUGUGAAAGGCGCGGGCUCAACCCGCGGACGGCACAUGAUACUGCGAGACUAGAGUAAGGGAGGGGGAACCGGAAUUCUCGGUGUAGCAGUGAAAUGCGUAGAUAUCGAGAGGAACACUCGUGGCGAAGGCGGGUUCCUGGACAUUAACUGACGCUGAGGCACGAAGGCCAGGGGAGCGAAAGGGAUUAGAUACCCCAGUAGUC